Schistosoma rodhaini is the source of this 45-nucleotide non-coding RNA. The record is from Rfam. Lineage: Eukaryota; Metazoa; Platyhelminthes; Trematoda; Strigeidida; Schistosomatidae.
AUCCAGCUGACCAGUCCUAAAUAGGACGAAAUACACUUCGUGCAU